Molecule: small RNA, 28 nt
Filed under: Bombyx mori (domestic silkworm)
Lineage: Eukaryota; Metazoa; Arthropoda; Insecta; Lepidoptera; Bombycidae
Description: ovarian small RNA-27809
Source: RNAcentral
UCCUCGCCAGUGGCGAACGGAUGUCUUC